Molecule: ribosomal RNA, 433 nt
Filed under: uncultured bacterium
Lineage: Bacteria
Description: partial 16S ribosomal RNA
Rfam family: Bacterial small subunit ribosomal RNA
Source: RNAcentral
AACGAACGCUGGCGGCAUGCCUAACACAUGCAAGUCGAACGAGAGCUUCGGGUCUACUGGCGCACGGAGGCGUGGCGCGGUGGAACCUGCCCUUAAGUUUGGAAUAACGCCCCGGAUGGGGUCCUGAUACCGGCGAAUGUCUUGCAACCGAAGAUUUAUCGACUUUGGAUGGGCCUGCGUUGGCUUGGCUAGUGGUUAGGGUAAACCCCUACCAAUGCGACGAGCCAUAGCUGGUUUGAGAGGCUGAUACGCCACACUGGUAGUGAGAAACGGCCCAGACUACUACGGGAGGCAGCAGUGGGGAAUAUUGGACAAUGGGCGAAAGCCUGAUCCAGCAAUGCCGCGUGAGUGAUGAAGGUCUUAGGGUUGUAAAGCAAUUUUACACGGGAUGAUAAUGACAUUACCGGGAGAAUAAGCUCCGGCUAACUCCGUG